Molecule: long non-coding RNA, 470 nt
Organism: Cynoglossus semilaevis (tongue sole)
Lineage: Eukaryota; Metazoa; Chordata; Actinopteri; Pleuronectiformes; Cynoglossidae
Exons: 3
Source: RefSeq, a predicted model, not a curated record
CACGAGUAUUAAUAUUCACAGACUCAUUUUGAAUUUAUUUUUACUAUUUCCAAACAUUUCUCAAACCAGAGCUGCAGACCCUGCACGACCCAUCCUAAAGACCUUCACUCAGCACAGACAGGGCUCAACACCUGGCUCCCUCUCUGUGCUAGACAUGCGCGAUAGGCGGCCAUCAAACCGCCGCUGUGGCGACGAACGUGCUUCCUUCAACUGGAAACUGUGAUAACACAAGACACAGAUAUCUGAAAUUCUCCUCCAUUUCCGGAGUGACUGUAAAUGUGAGUGUGAUUCCAGCUGUAAGGCCUCAGCUCAGCUCAGCUCAGCUCCGCUCCGCACGGUUCGGCUCAGUAGAUCACGGUCUGCCAAUGACGCACGUUUAACAACGCAACCUGUUUGUUGCAUGCAGAUCUACUGACAUCAUGUCCGCAGAUGACGAGCGUCUCCUAUCCACAUAUGACAAACUAAACUGU